UGGACAGCAGCCUCUCGGCCUGCCAGUGUUUGUUUGGUGUUACCUCUUCACAGACAUUUUUGUAAUUUUCUUUUUUGUAUAUAUUUAUUUUCUUCAGCAGAAACUGAACACACAAUGAUCUUCUUGAGCUGACCAUCCAAGGAGUCAAGACUUAGUUGGCCCUGGCCCAAGAUCACUGGGGCCUGUUCCUGAGGGAGCCGUAUAUCCUCCGCCUCUGGCUCGUCAGAGUCGUGAAACAAGAGAAAGGAUUCUGCUAGUCCAUGAUGUAUCGAACUAACCACGCUGCAUUUUGGUCCGACUCUCCUUCGGCGGAAGAAAACCAUAACACUAACAGAAGAAACGCAUCUUCUACAAGAACCAGUUCUGAGCCGAAGAUCUACUGCCCGCUUACCCGGGAAAGCACCAAACAGCAGACUGUAACGUUGGACCAUCGAAGAGGCGCAAAUAUGAUGAACUACAUUGUUUUGGGGUUAAUUUAUAUUGGGAGUAUUGCCUUUCCUCAGCCACAGUGUAUUAAAUGUG
Oncorhynchus keta (chum salmon) is the source of this 522-nucleotide long non-coding RNA. RefSeq lists it as uncharacterized. The transcript is spliced from 4 exons. NCBI's taxonomy places the organism in Eukaryota, Metazoa, Chordata, Actinopteri, Salmoniformes, Salmonidae. The record is from RefSeq and is a predicted model, not a curated record.